Molecule: long non-coding RNA, 2073 nt
Organism: Magnolia sinica
Lineage: Eukaryota; Viridiplantae; Streptophyta; Magnoliopsida; Magnoliales; Magnoliaceae
Exons: 2
Source: RefSeq, a predicted model, not a curated record
AACUCAGGAUUUUAUUUACAGGUAAAUCAUUUACAACCUGUCAAACUCCAACGUCCCUUUUUUUUAAAAAUAAAAUAAAAUCCAUUGUUAUAAAGGAAUCUCCCUAUCUCUUUUGUCUCCAAGAACUCCACGGCUCUCUCUCUCUCUCUCUCUCUCUCUCUCCCCCUGGUAAAUAAAAUACCCUGUUACCAUUUCAAUGACGAUCGAAGUACAUAUAUCAAAGACUGGCAGUGAUAUGGACAACAAACGGACGACCGGAAGAAAUUUGACAACCGUGAAAGAAACCAUGAUCAAUGUUUCAGUCAUCUGGGUCUGCAAAUCCACUGUUGCAUAAGAAGUUGAACUGGAUCAUGAGUCUGAUGUUGUGAGGGAUCCAAGAGGACUAAUGCAACCUUGAGGACAUGGUUGGUUUGGCGUGUGGUAGGGGAUAUGAUCUCAUCUAGUCAUUGUCAGCAUGUGGUAGAUUGAGGUUACAAUUUCUAUAGAUCUGCCAGAUUCUGGGUAUUUGCUUAGGAUUUACAUACUAGGUAAUAAGAUAUUUUGGAGAUCUACUUGUUAUAGAAAGGAGGUGAGGGGGAAUAAGUGAUUACAAAGGGGUUGUGCCUUCUUUGAAUUUUAUCAUCCUAUUUUUGAGAAGAGAACUAAUCACCUAUAAGGCACCUUGCACCACUAACUAUUGUGGUAUAGAGCACUUUCAUCCAUUGUAUGUUUAAAUGGUGGAGAUCUUAUUAGCUAAAAAAGCUGCAGCUCCUUUUUUUGAGAAGUAAACUACUAUUUCUUUUAUUAAGAAAUCAUACCUCACCUUAGCCAGAGUCAACAACCCCCCAAUACUCAUAGGUUUUGUACAAUCUCACGUACUACGUUCAUUAAAGCAGAAGGAGAAUAAGAAGAAGAAGAAGGAACUUUUUUAUUUUUAUGUUCUUUAGAUCUUUUUUAGCGGACCUAUCUUAUCCAUGAUGAAACCAUUGAUCUGAUGGUUCUAAUCAGAUCAAUCAGUUAUUAGCCAGGUUCAUAAAAAUUGUAUCCGAACUGUUGAUCUAAUGGGUCCCACCGGAGGACCAACAUCUGCUGUUUCAAGCAAUUGACCGUAUACAAAAUAAAAAUAAUUAUAUGAUUUGGCCUCUAUUUUGUGCAUAAUUGGUGGUUGCACUCCAACAUAUGGCUAUGUUUCUUUGACUAUGCACUAAUCAGCCAAUUAGGAUCUUCCGUUCAGUAUGAUAUUUUAGUUAUAAUCUAUCUAAAGUGGGGCUUAUGAUAUGGAUGGAUGAAUUCGAGGUAAAGGUAAGCCACGUGUACAAUGACUAAAUGCAUGCCUAUGGAUCAUCACACCAACCCAUUGGAUGAUAUAUUUGAUGGGUUGACAACAAAAGUCAGUGAUGGGCCUCAUGGUUGAUUGAUUUGACUGGAGCCAUGAAUCCAAUGGUUCCAUCAUGGAUAAGUUAGGUCCCACUGGAAAAAUCUAAAAAAGAUAAAAUAAAGAAUACCCUUCUUCUUCUUUUUAUUUAAUGGUUGUCGAAUAGGAGAGAAAUUCAAUUGUGCAUUACUCAUGAGUGUAAAAAUGGGAAAGACUGACCACUGUUUUUUGGAGAAAGAGGAAGAGGGAGGGUUUGUUUGACCCUAGUUAAAGUAAUGUAAGAUUUCUUAAUAAAAAUUAUUUUAAUAUUUAAAAAAAGAAAAAGAAAAACAGGCUGCAGCUUUUUGGUCGACAAGCUCUCAACCAUAUAAUUCUUUUAAAUGCCUUGUACCAUGAUAGUUUUGCAGGGUGCCAAUAGGUGAUAAGUUCUCUUAUGAGAAUUGACUUUGAAGUGAGUUUAUAAAAGGAGGUUCUCCCUCGGAGGAGAACUCUUUUUCAUUUUAUUUUUAAGAUUAUUCCAUAGAAACUGUUUGACACUAAUUGUCAUGAUCCACUGAGAUCUUGUCAGCUUAACUUGUUGUAAAAGAAACUUGAUAAGAAAAUAAUGGUAUUGAUGAUCUUAAAUGCAUGAGAGGGUAUUUUAAGUGUAUACUGCAGAGUGCCAUGAUCCACUGAGAUUUGGGUCUCUUCUAAUCAUUCUUUUUUUUUUUUUUUUUUUU